Molecule: long non-coding RNA, 2319 nt
Filed under: Canis lupus familiaris (dog)
Lineage: Eukaryota; Metazoa; Chordata; Mammalia; Carnivora; Canidae
Description: lncRNA (ENSCAFG00000053997.1)
Source: RNAcentral
GUGGAAUUUGAAUUUCAUGAAAACAAGCGUCUCCUGACCGUUUCGGUAACCCCUGCGCCCGGCAGGUGGGAGGACUCAAGAGGCUUUGGAAAAUAUAUAUGAACGGUUGUGAACGCGUUACAGCCUCGAACGGCUAACGUCCCCAUUCACAGAUGUGGAAACUGAGGCUCACUGGUCACGAGGCACUAGCUAGGCCUCAGGAACCUGGACACUCCACCCUCCAAGGCUCUCGCUGAGCCGUCUCCCACGAAGACACCCCCCCAAGGAAAGGCAGCACCCCAGAGCACCCCAGGGGCACCCAGGUUUCCGCGGGCUCGGCGCGGUGCGGGGCACUCUGGGAAAUGUAGUCCGGUCCGCUUUCCGGCUCCUGCGACUUCCGCUUCCGGCAGGCACGAGCUUCGCGCGAGGCUUGGGGGAAAGACGCGUGGGGACCGCGGGAGGAGCGGCGGGGGACCCGGGGGGCGUUUGCGUGGAGGGACGCUGGGUGCCGAGCUUGCUUAGUCGGCGCCGGCUGUGUGCGGUGGGCGUCGCGGCCGCCGGGGCAGAGGCGGGACUCUAACCUGAGGCCCCUUGCUGGCCUCCCGGGGCGCGCCCCAGGCCGGUGUUCGGCCCCGGAGGACGAGGAGAGAGCGUCCGGUGUGGCCUCCGAGGCCGACUUUAGGCUGCCUGGGCUUUGGCCUCCUGCCCUUUUGGAGAAAGCCAUUGAAGAGCAUUGAAGCUAAGGAGAUUCUGGCUUUCAUUAUGGCCCAGGUGAACUACUGAUCUUUUUUUUUUUUUUUUUCAUCUACUUUUUUUUAGAGAGAAUGAGGGGAGGGGCAAUGGGAAAGAAUCUCAAGCAGACCCCUUGCUGAGUGUGGAGCCAGGUGUGGGGUUUGAUCCCACAAUCCAUGAGAUCAUGACUCAAACCAAAAUCGAGAGUCAGAUGCUCAACCAACUGAGCCACCCAGACAUCUAUGAACUAAUGGUCUUUUUGUAAAUACUCUCCACCGAAAAGAACUGUAUCACUCUCUCCGCUCCUCCUACUGCAUGUUUCUUCAUAAUAUUAUUCACUACCUGUGUAAUUUUAUUUGUUUGUGGGUGCCAGACAUAGCCCAGAAACGUAUUGAUGUAUUUUUUUUUUAUCUCACAAGAUUUACUUACUCAUUUUUUUUUUAAAGAUUUUAUUUAUUCAUUCAUGCAAGACACAGAGACAUAGGCAGAGGGAGAAGCAGGGUCCCGAAAGGAGCCUUUACAGGACUCGAUUCUAGGACCUGGGGAUCAUGCCCUGAUCCAAAGGCAGACACUCAACCGCUAAGCGUCCCUCUCACACAGGAUUUAAAACCAACUUGAGUUUACAUUCAAAAUUAAAGGAGUUUAAAAAAAAAAAAAAUUAAAGGAGUUUUCAUUUGAACAUCCAGCUAUCAGAUGUCUUCAGUCAGACAUCUGGUUGGCAGCAUGGGGCUCACGUUCCCCUCUACUCCCCAUGUCCCUGACCCCAGCUUCCAUCAGCAACUGCCGUUGUGCCAGCAUUGCUGUUUCUUGUAGUAGGGAGAAAAUCUCCAUACUCGCGUCACUUUCCUACAUGACAGUACAAAAGAUGAGGGACACUUAUUUUAAUAAAAAUAGGAGAGAACAAGUGUCUUUGUGGAUAGCAUGAAUAUUCCAGAAUGUUAGGUAUGCAAACUGUUGAAAGGCCAGUCUUGCCUCCCUCCCUGGCUCUAGUCUGCAGCGGGUGAUGGUCUAAGGACCAAGGAGAAUCAUGUGUCAUUCCAAGGACUGGCAGUGUUUAGGGGUCUGGCUGUGUUCUCUGGACUGAAUUGUAUCUCCCCAAAAUAUAGGUUGAAGCCCUAACCCCAAUGUGACUAUAUUUGGAGAGAGGGUCGGUAGGUGGUAAUUAAGGUUAAAUGAAAUGAUACGAAUGGCACCCUGACCUGAUAGGAUUGCGGCCUUACUCAAAAGAGAAACCUUAUUAAGAGGGAUCACUCUCUACCUUGUGAGGACACUGUGAGAAGGUAGCAGUCUGCAGGCUGGAAGAGAGCUCCCAUGAGGAACUGAGUCCACUAAUGCCUUGAUCGUGGACUUCCAGCCUUCAGAACUAUAAGAAAUACGGGUGGUCUAAGGCUCCCAGUCUGUGGUGUGCUGUUACAGCAGCCUGAGCAGACGAAGACACUGUUCCCCAAAAGGAGUGUGUGAAUCUUCACCCCAUUCUGAGUGAUGCCUGGGCAGACGACAAGCAGGAGAGUUUAGCAGCUGUCAUCCCUAGGAGUAAGGAUUUCCAAGCAUGCCUGGUGGUCCUUGAAUUCCCUUACAUCCCCCACACUCCAGCCUCCUUUAUCCUGG